This 260-nucleotide small RNA is filed under the name Arabidopsis thaliana (thale cress). RNAcentral's name for it is "ATSL032010". Lineage: Eukaryota; Viridiplantae; Streptophyta; Magnoliopsida; Brassicales; Brassicaceae. The record is from RNAcentral.
AUUUUCAAAAUUUCCUUGACCAUUACCCGACAUUUCCAUCAUCAGAAAAAGACAAACAUCUUGAAAAGAAUAAAUUUCCGAAAACUUAACUCUAUUUUUGCGAUCGGAGAUGGAGACGGAGGAGACGGAGAUCGGAGACGGAGACACCGAAAUUGAAGAGACAGGAAUCAUAUGAGAAGAUUAACACGAUUUGGUGAGGAUAUUAACGCAAAUUAUAGGAUGAACAAUCAGAAAAAAGAGAACUCGAAGACAUUAUUUUU